GACGAACGCUGGCGGCGUGCCUAAUACAUGCAAGUCGAGCGAAUGGAUUAAGAGCUUGCUCUUAUGAAGUUAGCGGCGGACGGGUGAGUAACACGUGGGUAACCUGCCCAUAAGACUGGGAUAACUCCGGGAAACCGGGGCUAAUACCGGAUAACAUUUUGAAACGCAUGGUUCGAAAUUGAAAGGCGGAUUCGGCUGUCACUUAUGGAUGGACCCGGGUCGCAUUAGCUAGUUGGUGAGGUAACGGAUCACCAAGGCAACGAUGCGUAGCCGACCUGAGAGGGUGAUCGGCCACACUGGGACUGAGACACGGCCCAGACUCCUACGGGAGGCAGCAGUAGGGAAUCUUCCGCAAUGGACGAAAGUCUGACGGAGCAACGCCGCGUGAGUGAUGAAGGCUUUCGGGUCGUAAAACUCUGUUGUUAGGGAAGAACAAGUGCUAGUUGAAUAAGCUGGCACCUUGACGGUACCUAACCAGAAAGCCACGGCUAACUACGUGCCAGCAGCCGCGGUAA
RNAcentral lists this ribosomal RNA (515 nucleotides) under uncultured bacterium. RNAcentral describes it as "partial 16S ribosomal RNA". It matches the Rfam family "Bacterial small subunit ribosomal RNA", at positions 28 to 523 of the family's 1533-position model. The record is from RNAcentral.